GCCGGGUGCAGUGGCGCACACCUAUAAUCCCAGCAGCUCUGGAGGCUGAGGCAGGAGGAUGGCAAGUUCAAAGCCAGUCUCAGCAACUUAGUGAGGCCCUAAGCAACUCAGUGAGACCCUGUCUCUA
Molecule: small RNA, 127 nt
Filed under: Marmota monax (woodchuck)
Lineage: Eukaryota; Metazoa; Chordata; Mammalia; Rodentia; Sciuridae
Source: RNAcentral